UGGGGAAUUUUGGACAAUGGGGGCAACCCUGAUCCAGCCAUUCCGCGUGAGUGAAGAAGGCCUUCGGGUUGUAAAGCUCUUUUGUUCGGGACGAAACGGUGAACGUGAAUAGCGUUCGCUACUGACGGUACCGGAAGAAUAAGCACCGGCUAACUACGUGCCAGCAGCCGCGGUAAUACGUAGGGUGCGAGCGUUAAUCGGAAUUACUGGGCGUAAAGCGUGCGCAGGCGGUUUUGUAAGCCAGAUGUGAAAUCCCCGGGCUUAACCUGGGAAUGGCAUUUGGGACUGCAAGGCUGGAGUGCGGCAGAGGGGACUGGAAUUCCUGGUGUAGCAGUGAAAUGCGUAGAGAUCAGGAGGAAUACCGAUGGCGAAGGCAGGUCCCUGGGCUGACACUGACGCUCAUGCACGAAAGCGUGGGGAGCAAACAGGAUUAGAUACCCUGGUAGUCCACGCCCUAAACGAUGUCGACUGGUUGUUGGGGGUUUGACACUCUCAGUAACGAAGCUAACGCGUGAAGUCGACCGCCUGGGGAGUACGGCCGCAAGGUUAA
This 550-nucleotide ribosomal RNA is filed under the name uncultured beta proteobacterium. Its description in RNAcentral is "bacterial SSU rRNA". It matches the Rfam family "Bacterial small subunit ribosomal RNA", at positions 355 to 897 of the family's 1533-position model. The record is from RNAcentral. Lineage: Bacteria; Pseudomonadati; Pseudomonadota; Betaproteobacteria.